This 497-nucleotide ribosomal RNA is filed under the name uncultured bacterium. Its description in RNAcentral is "partial 16S ribosomal RNA". It matches the Rfam family "Bacterial small subunit ribosomal RNA", at positions 28 to 507 of the family's 1533-position model. The record is from RNAcentral.
GAUGAACGCUGGCGGCGUGCCUAAUACAUGCAAGUCGAGCGAACAGACGAGGAGCUUGCUCCUCUGACGUUAGCGGCGGACGGGUGAGUAACACGUGGAUAACCUACCUAUAAGACUGGGAUAACUUCGGGAAACCGGAGCUAAUACCGGAUAAUAUAUUGAACCGCAUGGUUCAAUAGUGAAAGACGGUUUUGCUGUCACUUAUAGAUGGAUCCGCGCCGCGUUAGCUAGUUGGUAAGGUAACGGCUUACCAAGGCAACGAUGCGUAGCCGACCUGAGAGGGUGAUCGGCCACACUGGAACUGAGACACGGUCCAGACUCCUACGGGAGGCAGCAGUAGGGAAUCUUCCGCAAUGGGCGAAAGCUUGACGGAGCAACGCCGCGUGAGUGAUGAAGGUCUUCGGAUCGUAAAACUCUGUUAUUAGGGAAGAACAAAUGUGUAAGUAACUAUGCACGUCUUGACGGUACCUAAUCAGAAAGCCACGGCUAACUACGUG